This 254-nucleotide ribosomal RNA is filed under the name uncultured bacterium. RNAcentral describes it as "partial 16S ribosomal RNA". It matches the Rfam family "Bacterial small subunit ribosomal RNA", at positions 524 to 776 of the family's 1533-position model. The record is from RNAcentral.
UACAGAGGGUGCAAGCGUUGUUCGGAAUUAUUUGGGCGUAAAGCGCGUGUAGGCGGCUCGAUAAGUCUGCUGUGAAAGUCCAGGGCUCAACCCUGGGAUGCCGGUGGAUACUGUCGGGCUCGAGUCCGGAAGAGGCGAGUGGAAUUCCUGGUGUAGCGGUGAAAUGCGUAGAUAUCUGGAGGAAUACCGGUGGCGAAGGCGGCAUCCUGGACCGGCAUUGACGCUGAGGAGCGAAAGCUAGGGGAGCAAACGGG